RNAcentral lists this ribosomal RNA (216 nucleotides) under Glomeromycotina sp. RNAcentral describes it as "partial small subunit ribosomal RNA". The stretch from base 75 to 216 matches the Rfam family "Eukaryotic small subunit ribosomal RNA", at positions 721 to 864 of the family's 1831-position model. Lineage: Eukaryota; Fungi; Glomeromycota. The record is from RNAcentral.
GGGUCAGUAGGUUGGUCGUGCCACCGGUACGUACUGGUCUCACUGAUUCCUCCUUCCCGAAGAACCGUAAUGCCAUUAAUUUGGUGUUGCGGGGAAACAGGACUGUUACUUUGAAAAAAUGAGAGUGUUUAAAGCAAGCUAACGCUUGAAUACAUUGGCAUGGAAUAAUGAAAUAGGACGAUCGAUCCUAUUUUGUUGGUUUCUAGGAUUGACGUA